GACGAACGCUGGCGGCGUGCCUAAUACAUGCAAGUAGAACGCACAGUUUAUACCGUAGCUUGCUACACCAUAGACUGUGAGUUGCGAACGGGUGAGUAACGCGUAGGUAACCUGCCUGGUAGCGGGGGAUAACUAUUGGAAACGAUAGCUAAUACCGCAUAAUAUUAAUUAUUGCAUGAUAAUUAAUUGAAAGGUGCAAUUGCACCACUACCAGAUGGACCUGCGUUGUAUUAGCUAGUGGGUGAGGUAACGGCUCACCUAGGCGACGAUACAUAGCCGACCUGAGAGGGUGAUCGGCCACACUGGGACUGAGACACGGCCCAGACUCCUACGGGAGGCAGCAGUAGGGAAUCUUCGGCAAUGGACGAAAGUCUGACCGAGCAACGCCGCGUGAGUGAAGAAGGUUUUCGGAUCGUAAAGCUCUGUUGUAAGAGAAGAACGGGUGUGAGAGUGGAAAGUUCACACUGUGACGGUAUCUUACCAGAAAGGGACGGCUAACUACGUG
RNAcentral lists this ribosomal RNA (505 nucleotides) under uncultured bacterium. Its description in RNAcentral is "partial 16S ribosomal RNA". It matches the Rfam family "Bacterial small subunit ribosomal RNA", at positions 28 to 507 of the family's 1533-position model. The record is from RNAcentral.